GACGAACCGUGCGAACGUUGUUCGGAAUCACUGGGCUUAAAGGGCGCGUAGGCGGGCAAGCAAGUCCGGGGUGAAAGCCCCCAGCUCAACUGGGGAAGUGCCUUGGAAACUGCUUGUCUAGAGGGAGGUAGGGGCAUGUGGAACUUCGGGUGGAGCGGUGAAAUGCGCAGAUAUCAGGAGGAACACCGGUGGCGAAGGCGGGUCUCUGGGCCGAUUCUGACACUGAGGAGCGAAAGCGUGGGGAGCGAACAGG
This 253-nucleotide ribosomal RNA is filed under the name uncultured bacterium. RNAcentral describes it as "partial 16S ribosomal RNA". It matches the Rfam family "Bacterial small subunit ribosomal RNA", at positions 524 to 776 of the family's 1533-position model. The record is from RNAcentral.